Molecule: long non-coding RNA, 2368 nt
Organism: Myotis lucifugus (little brown bat)
Lineage: Eukaryota; Metazoa; Chordata; Mammalia; Chiroptera; Vespertilionidae
Exons: 2
Source: RefSeq, a predicted model, not a curated record
GUCUGAAAAAACCGUGCGGUUCUCUUCCCCGGGUUGAGUCACCGGUGCCUGGGGAAGGCGUGUGGCGCGAUCCGCUGGGCUCCUAGUCUCUUAAAUGAGAUUUCGAGACCCCCUAGAAAUGCCAGAAAUACGGGUUGGGUCGUGAGGCCCCAGGAAGACAAUGGGUAACCCCCCAGUUUAGCGCGCUGCGUCCUCAUCUGAGAUUCCCGCUGAAGUUAAAGGCUUUGAUGCGAGGUGUAGACACUCACCUUGCCGAGUGAACCACACGUUAAUUUAAGGUGCCUCCCAUGGUAUGGAGAAAUUUCUUCUUGCUUCCACCUUCAUGAUAUUGCACUCCUUUGGCAGUUGUUGAAGGUAGGUGGGAUGGGAGUGAACAGGCUGCUGGUUGACCCACAUUAGUGACCCCUCCAGGCUGCCAGGCUGGCCUUUCCAGUCCUUCCUUCUUCCUCCUUCCUUGGAACUUUUGAUACAAGGAAAGAUGGCCUUUGCACAUUGGACACUGUGAGCUAGAGCACUCUCUAUCAGGAGGCCAUGCAUACUAUUGUGAGGUUUAUCUGCCCUGGAGAGUUGCUGGGCUGUGUUUAAUGGGUGACUCUGAGGCCUCAAGGAAAUGAAAGGGGGAGGGGGAGUCCAGACUUUUGUUAGCUCCUGAUUUAUGACUCAUUUAUCAUAUCUGUUGCAUGACAGGUUGGCCUCCUUCCCCCACCCACUGCAUCCCAAAUUGCAUUAAAAGGACAUGUGCAAAGCAGGACACCUCUCCUUAACCCGUCUCCCACUCUGUACAACCCUUUAAAGACUAUGGGUGUACUGGAUAACCUUUCUUUCCUUAAAAUAUCAGUGAAUAUUGUUUUUUUAAAACCCCUCACAGGUGAGCCCCAAAUCUCACCUAGACUGCUGAGCAGAAUGAGAAAGGCUCCAGCUAGGCAGAUAAGCUCUUGCCCUUCUUUCUGUAACUUAUAAAUUGGGUGCUUUUGCAAAUUGGGCAACUUCUGCAAUCAGGCUAAUGGUAUGCAUUUUCAGAGCAAAGUGUGGUUGGCUUUUUCUGUUUAGGUUUAGAGAUGACUCAGGAUGUCAUUGGAGCUUGCUGCUUGGGAAUUUCUAAUGUGGGGAAAGCUUGUGGGAAAUUUGAAGGUGGCUGUGAAGCCCCCUGAUAAUUACGGUAGGAACUUUCAUCUUUAUAAAGUACUUUUGUUUCUGGGGUAAUUUCCACAUGCUCUAACUUUUUUUGAAUAAUUAUGGGUCUUUUAAUGCUAGUAUUUCAUGAACAAUGACCAUGAACCUAGUACGUACUGAGUAUUGCCACAGAGUAUAUAUAUAUAUAUACAUUUGCAUUAUUUUUAUAUCCAUACUUAGCUAAUAUUUCUUUAGUGCUCACCUUCUGCCAGAUACUGUGCUAAGCACUUUACAUAUUUUAAUUCUUUUAAUAUUCACAAUGUUUCCUAUGAGGUAGAUGUUUACAGACAAUAGAACUGAGGUACAGAGAGGCCAAGUGACUUAUACUAAGUAUCUUUAGGAUGGCUGCAAUGAAACCUCCUCCUGCUGUUCUUCCCACUGUGAUCCCCUUCCUUCAGGUGAAAGCUGGACCUACUGACUCACUUUAAAUGAACAGAAUAUGGCCAAAGUGAUGGAACAUCAUUUCCAAGAUUAGGUUACAAAAAGACUAAGACUUCUGUGUGGGUGAAGUAAGCUACCACAAUGGGGGUAGCCCUAUGAAGGCCAACACCACAAGGAAUUAACGCCUCUGGCCAAUAGCCAGCAGAGACCCCAGGCCUAUCUGACAAUUGGAUUGCACUUGUGUGACCCUGAACCAGAGGACCCAGUGACAACAGAGCUGAGCUGAUAUAGAAACUGUGAUAAUAAAUGUGUUAAAAAAAAUUUUUUUGUUAAUCCUCACCCAAGGAUAUUUUUUUCAUUGAUUUUUUAUAUAGAGUGGAAGGGAAGGAGGAGGGGGAGAAAGAGAGAGAGAGAAACAGAGAAACAUUGAUAUCAGACACAUCAAUGGUUGCCUUCUGAACUUGCUCGACCCAGGCCUGUGAUCUAACCUGCAACUGGAAUUGAAACUGUGACUCUUCAGUGCGAGGGCUGACAAUCUAAUCACUGAGCAACACUGGCCAUGGCAAUGUUUGUUGUUUUAAGCCACUAGGCUUGGGGGUAGUUUAUUACACAGCAAUAUCACUAAUACACUUGCUCAAGGUUAAAAAGCUUGUCUCUAUUAAGAAUUGCAGAUUAUAGACCCUGUACAUUUUUCCUCUCUUAAAUUAUUUUUAUUAUAAUGCUACUUAAGUAUAUAGAAACAAAUCUAGGAAUGCAGUUUUUAUGAUUAUUGUUGUAUACAGCUAUAAAAAUAAAAAAUUGGAAUACCAAAUUU